GGGCCAGUUUAGGUCGCUAGUGUAGGAAAUUACUUGGUGGGGGUUUUAUUCCUGUUAUGAUUUCGUGUUUCAUGUUCCAUGUUUUAUUACGAAUCUGUGUGCUUUCCUAUGCUUUCCUCUGUUUUAUAUUACUUGUGGGUGCCGUAUUUAUGUUAUGUAAUCUGCUUCUGUGCUUUACUAUGUGUUUGUGUGGUAUCUCGUGCCUUGAGCCGGGGGUCU
RNAcentral lists this long non-coding RNA (219 nucleotides) under Capsicum annuum. Its description in RNAcentral is "long non-coding RNA (CANN_LNC000872)". Lineage: Eukaryota; Viridiplantae; Streptophyta; Magnoliopsida; Solanales; Solanaceae. The record is from RNAcentral.